This 253-nucleotide ribosomal RNA is filed under the name uncultured bacterium. RNAcentral describes it as "partial 16S ribosomal RNA". It matches the Rfam family "Bacterial small subunit ribosomal RNA", at positions 524 to 776 of the family's 1533-position model. The record is from RNAcentral.
UACAGAGGGUGCAAGCGUUGUUCGGAAUUAUUGGGCGUAAAGGGCGCGUAGGCGGCGCGGAAAGUCAACGGUGAAAGCUCGGGGCUCAACCCCGAGUCGGCCGUCGAUACUUCUGUGCUCGAGCACUGUAGAGGCAGGUGGAAUUCCCAGUGUAGAGGUGAAAUUCGUAGAUAUCUGGAGGAACACCGGUGGCGAAGGCGGCAUCCUGGACCGGCAUUGACGCUGAGGUGCGAAAGCGUGGGGAGCAAACAGG